Molecule: transfer RNA, 71 nt
Filed under: Marmota monax (woodchuck)
Lineage: Eukaryota; Metazoa; Chordata; Mammalia; Rodentia; Sciuridae
Description: tRNA.Ala
Source: RNAcentral
GGGGUAGUGGAGUAGUGGUAGAGCACUCGCCUAGCAUGUGUGAGGUCCUGAGUUUGAUCCUCAGCACCACA